GCAGAUGUGGCAGAGUGGUCUAAUGCGUCGGCCUUGAGUUGAUCAAGGUUGAUAACAAGUUAGCCGAUUCGCCGUAUGGCGAGCAGGAGUUCAAAUCUCCUCAUCUGCG
Molecule: transfer RNA, 109 nt
Filed under: Candidatus Nitrosocosmicus agrestis
Lineage: Archaea; Thermoproteati; Nitrososphaerota; Nitrososphaeria; Nitrososphaerales; Nitrososphaeraceae
Description: Candidatus Nitrosocosmicus sp. SS tRNA-Ser
Rfam family: tRNA
About the family: Transfer RNA (tRNA) molecules are approximately 80 nucleotides in length. Their secondary structure includes four short double-helical elements and three loops (D, anti-codon, and T loops). Further hydrogen bonds mediate the characteristic L-shaped molecular structure. tRNAs have two regions of fundamental functional importance: the anti-codon, which is responsible for specific mRNA codon recognition, and the 3' end, to which the tRNAs corresponding amino acid is attached (by aminoacyl-tRNA synthetases). tRNAs cope with the degeneracy of the genetic code in two manners: having more than one tRNA (with a specific anti-codon) for a particular amino acid; and 'wobble' base-pairing, i.e. permitting non-standard base-pairing at the 3rd anti-codon position.
Source: RNAcentral